GACGAACGCUGGCGGCGUGCCUAAUACAUGCAAGUUGAGCGAUCAGGCUUGGUGCUUGCUCCAAUUUGGAGAGCAGCGGACGGGUGAGUAACACGUGGGGAAUCUGCCUUUGAGCGUGGGACAACAUUGGGAAACGAAUGCUAAUACCGCAUAAUAUCUUUAACCAUAAGUUUUAAGUUUGAAAGAUGCUAUUGCAUCACUCAAAGGUGAUCCCCCGUUGUAUUAGCUAGUUGGUGAGGUAAAGGCUCACCAAGGCGAAGAUACAUAACCGGACUGAGAGGGUGGACGGCCACAAUGGGAAUGGGACACCGCCCCAACUUCCUACGGAAGCAGCAGGAGGGAAAUUUUGGCAAAGGACGGAAGGCCGAACGGGCCACGCCGGGGGAGGGAAGAAGGGUCUUGGGUCGGUAAAACCGGGUGGUAGGGAAGAAAGUGAGGGGGAGGGGAAAGUGCACGAAGUGACGGUAACUAAUCAGAAAGACACGGCUAACUACGUG
RNAcentral lists this ribosomal RNA (497 nucleotides) under uncultured bacterium. Its description in RNAcentral is "partial 16S ribosomal RNA". It matches the Rfam family "Bacterial small subunit ribosomal RNA", at positions 28 to 507 of the family's 1533-position model. The record is from RNAcentral.